This 258-nucleotide ribosomal RNA is filed under the name uncultured bacterium. RNAcentral's name for it is "partial 16S ribosomal RNA". It matches the Rfam family "Bacterial small subunit ribosomal RNA", at positions 96 to 354 of the family's 1533-position model. The record is from RNAcentral.
UGGCGGACGGGUGAGUAACGCGUGGGUAACCUGCCUUACACAGGGGGAUAACACCUGGAAACAGGUGCUAAUACCGCAUAAGCGCACAGGGCCGCAUGGCCCGGUGUGAAAAACUCCGGUGGUGUGAGAUGGACCCGCGUCUGAUUAGCUUGUUGGCGGGGUAGGGGCCCACCAAGGCGACGAUCAGUAGCCGGCCUGAGAGGGUGGACGGCCACAUUGGGACUGAGACACGGCCCAAACUCCUACGGGAGGCAGCAG